CUCACCCCAGAUCUAAAGUCCCUACACUGGCUUCCUGUAGCUCAGACUGGACAACUGCUGUUUAUAAAUCACUGAACGGCUUAGCAUCACGAUACAUUAAAGGUCUGCUGUUGUUUAAUCAACCCUCCAGAACCUCCAGGUCUUCUGGUUCUGGGGAAGAAGGGCAGAA
Molecule: long non-coding RNA, 169 nt
Organism: Xiphophorus couchianus (Monterrey platyfish)
Lineage: Eukaryota; Metazoa; Chordata; Actinopteri; Cyprinodontiformes; Poeciliidae
Exons: 3
Source: RefSeq, a predicted model, not a curated record